UGGGGAAUAUUGCACAAUGGGGGAAACCCUGAUGCAGCGACGCCGCGUGAACGAAGAAGGUAUUCGUAUCGUAAAGUUCUGUCCUAUGGGAAGAUAAUGACAGUACCAUAGAGGAAAGCUCCGGCUAAAUACGUGCCAGCAGCCGCGGUAAUACGUAUGGAGCGAGCGUUGUCCGGAAUUAUUGGGCGUAAAGGGUACGCAGGCGGUUUAAUAAGUCGAAUGUUAAAGAUCGGGGCUCAACCCCGCAAAGCAUUGGAAACUGAUAAACUUGAGUAGUGGAGAGGAAAGUGGAAUUCCUAGUGUAGUGGUGAAAUACGUAGAUAUUAGGAGGAAUACCAGUAGCGAAGGCGACUUUCUGGACACAAACUGACGCUAAGGUACGAAAGCGUGGGGAGCAAACAGG
Molecule: ribosomal RNA, 403 nt
Filed under: bacterium
Lineage: Bacteria
Description: partial 16S ribosomal RNA
Rfam family: Bacterial small subunit ribosomal RNA
Source: RNAcentral